AUCAAAUUCUCAGAGCUGUUAGGUGUGUUGUUACUGUGUUUGUGAGAUUUUGUUAUUCAUUUAGCAGACACUCUGAUCCAGAGAGACUUACAGUAGAGAGUCAUUUAACAGACUCUCUGAUCCAGAGAGACUUACAGUAGAGAGUCAUUUAACAGACUCUCUGAUCCAGAGAGACUUACAGUAGAGAGUCAUUUAACAGACUCUCUGAUCCAGAGAGACUUACAGUAGGGAGUCAUUUAACAGACUCUCUGAUCCAGAGAGACUUACAGUAGAGAGUCAUUUAACAGACUCUCUGAUCCAGAGAGACUUACAGUAGAGAGUCAUUUAACAGACUCUCUGAUCCAGAGAGACUUACAGUAGAGAGUCAUUUAACAGACUCUCUGAUCCAGAGAGACUUACAGUAGAGAGUCAUUUAACAGACUCUGAUCCAGAGAGACUUACAGUAGGGAGUCAUUUAACAGACUCUCUGAUCCAGAGAGACUUACAGUAGAGAGUCAUUUAACAGACUCUGAUCCAGAGAGACUUACAGUAGAGAGUCAUUUAACAGACUCUGAUCCAGAGAGACUUACAGUAGAGAGUCAUUUAACAGACUCUCUGAUCCAGAGAGACUUACAGUAGGGAGUAAUUUAUCAUAGUGUAUCUCUCUCUCUCUCCAGGGUGUGAUUUAUCAUAGAGUGUAUCUCUCUCCAGGGUGUGAUUUAUCAUAGAGUGUAUAUCUCUCUCUCCAGGGUGUGAUUUAUCAGAGUGUAUCUCUCUCUCUCCAGGGUGUGAUUUAUCAGAGUGUAUCUCUCCAGGGUGUGAUUUAUCAGAUCUUGAAGACCUUUACUAUACGGACACUGGGAAGAAAACCACUUCAGGAUUUCAUUCUUUCUUUCCCAUAUGUCUUUCUCUCUGGAAAUCAAGCCAAGCAGCCAGUCUGUUGUGUAUUCCAAAUGGCACCCUAUUCCCUACAGGACCGAUAGCGCUCUAGUCUAAAGUAGUGCACUAUAUAGGGAAUGGGGAGCCAUUUGGGAUGCAGGGAGAAUGUUCUUCUCUGAGUGCCUCUUCCAAAGACCACUAACCUGCCAGACCAUAGUGCAAGCCUUAACUAUUCC
RNAcentral lists this long non-coding RNA (1094 nucleotides) under Oncorhynchus mykiss (rainbow trout). Its description in RNAcentral is "lncRNA (ENSOMYG00000058757.1)". The record is from RNAcentral. Lineage: Eukaryota; Metazoa; Chordata; Actinopteri; Salmoniformes; Salmonidae.